CUACAUUGCAGGCACACGUACCCAAGCUUCUGAUGGCAUGUUCGUAAGCAAAGAGACUGUACUCCUUUCUGAGAUCUGCUGAGUCAUCCUGCUUGAAUUCAGGUAGAGGCAUCUAGCAAGAGGAAAAGUUCAGAAAGACAAAAGGCUGAUGAAUACAAAAGAAAAAGGCAUGUGCAUCAGAGUUCCUGAAUCACUGAAAAACUUACAAUGCAUAAGCAGACCCAGCUGCAAUAGUUUACGAAGACUCUCACUGAAGCAUAUAAUUAGAGGUUACACAAGGGCAGGUAACAUUUUAGAAACAGACUUUUUCUAUCACUUGCGAACCCACCAGACCAGUUUCCUUUGCUGCUGACACCACUUUUUGUGCAUGACAAAAAUGCAGAAUUCUUACAGCACUGGAGCAAGGGAGAGGAAGGCUGCUUCUUCCGAUGAAGGCAAUUUGGGAGCUAGCUACUCGCCUCCUCCCGAGUGAAAGAGAAAAGAAGAUUGUGCCAGUGGCAUCCCAAUGAAAAGGCAUAAUGACAAUGAGCUGGCACUGGGUAGAGCAGAGCUUGUUCCCUGGCACUGUUGCAUCUCAUCAAUCGCAUGCAUUUAAAACUCACACAUUAAACUAGAUGGACAAAGAUGAGGGGCCUGUAUAAAUCCCUCGGAGACUACGUGGAAGUGGGAAUGCCAGGGGAGAAAUUCUACUUCCUUUCUGAGUUUUUAAAAUAAUACCUGCCUUAAGUGACAGAAAUUGCAAGCGUAUCAGAACUAGACACUCAGGGUGAGAUUUCACAUGAUGCCUGCCCUGAUCUAACGCAAAUCUGUCAUUCUUUUUUGCUACAUAUUUUUCUGCUGGAUUAGUGAGCUAAACUGUCUUCAGGGUAGUGAAAAGAGUGGAGCAGAGGAGGAAGAAGAAAGGCAUCACCCCGUUUGGUUGGCAGCAAGUGAUUUGGUCUGUGAAAUGUCACUCCCAGCUCCAGAGCUGGGGAAAGGAUGAAGAAGCAGUGUCUAGGAGCAUACACACUUGCAGUGAGGGUCCCUCAAUCUACUGGUAGGGAAGAGGCAGAAGUGCACAACUGGCAGAGAGGGAGGGCUGAACGACACUUCCAGCAGCGCCUGCUUUGUAUCAACUUAGCUCUAAUGUCAGGCUCUACCUUCACUAUAACCAGCAUGCUUUGCAACCUUCUAACAUGUUCUACAAUGUAUUUACUAAAUACCUACAAAAUAAAUAGGUAUGAUAGAGCUGAAUUUGGGAACUUAUCAAGAAAACUUGUGGCAUAGUUAUGAUGAGUUAAAAUUGUGGGGCUGUAAAUGCAGGACCAUUUUCACUCAGCAUACUCCAGUACUAUCCUUUGUGAGCCAUCUUAUUUGCAGCAUUUCACCCUAGCUGGAGUUUUGAUUGGCAGUUAAGCUUUGUUCAUGUAAUUUGAUACAUUUUUUUGAAAGAUAUCUUAAAAAUAAAACGGUGUUUUCCGUUUCA
RNAcentral lists this long non-coding RNA (1465 nucleotides) under Struthio camelus australis. RNAcentral's name for it is "lncRNA (ENSSCUG00000010657.1)". The record is from RNAcentral. Lineage: Eukaryota; Metazoa; Chordata; Aves; Struthioniformes; Struthionidae.